UAAAGCCAGCACUAAAAUUAGAGUUGCGGCUAGAUUUCAAAUUAGAUUAAAUGUUAGAGAUCUUUCUUUAUUAAUCAAAAUUCAAGAAUUUUUUGGAGGCAUAGGAACAUUUACUUAUGAUAAAGAAAGUAAUGCUUUUAAUUAUUCAGUAAAUAGUUUGACAGAUUUGCAAAAUGUUAUAAUUCCUCACUUUAUGAAUUAUCCACUGUUGACACAAAAAAAAAGAAAGAAGAGCAGCUGAUUUUAAAUUAUUUGUGCAAAUUGUUCAAUUAAUCCGGGGGACAAAGGUGCUCAUCUUAAUCAGGCUGGUUUACAACAGAUAGUUAAUAUUAAAGCUUCUAUGAAUAAAGGUAAUUCUGAUUUUGUUAAAUCUAAGUUUCCUCUAAUUAUCCCUGUAGAAUUAGGUAGAGAAACCAUUGAAACUACAAAUAUUUCAGAUCCACAUUGGAUCUCAGCAUUUGUUAGUGGUGAAGGUAAUUUUGAUGCAGGUAUUAGAAAAGCUACUAAUACUCGAAAAGAAAGAAUUUAUUUAAGAUUUAGAUUAUCACAACAUGAGAGAGAUCUCAAAUUAAUGGAACUAAUAAUUAAAUAUUUAGGAACAGGAAGAAUCGAGUAUGAUAACAGAAUAAUGCUGUUGUAGUUAUAGUAGUAGGAAACUUUGCAGAUAUAAAUAACAAAAUAAUUCCUUUCUUUAAUCAGUAUCCUGUAUUAGGUGUAAAGAACUUAGAUUAUUUAGAUUUUGCAAAAAUUGCUAAUAUGAUGAGUUUAGGUAAACAUAAAACACAAGAAGGAUUUGAGGAAAUAAAAGCAAUAGAAUCUGGAAUGAAUAAAGGUAGAAAGUAGAUAAAAUUAAAAAAUUGUAUGAAAAAUUUGAUGAUCCGUGGGUGCCAGAAGACUCGGUAAGGCCAGAAGCGCGAGCGUAAGUCAUCUUGAAAAGGCGUAAAGUGUGUGUAGGCAGCUUUGAAAAUCUCUUAACAGGGAAAAACUCAAAGAUUGAAUCAAAUAGAGGUCACAGUCCAGAUAAUUUUGUAAGGAAGGAUACAAUAUGCAGAUUUACAAAGGAAUACUAAUUAGCGAAUGCUCUUUUCCAACUAAUGAUUGACGCUGAGACACGAAGGUGAGGAUCGAAAAUAGAAUUUGGUACUCUGGUAUCCCUCUCUGUAAACGAUGAAUGGUAGUUGCUAGUUUAAGUAUUAGUGGCGAUGCUAACGCGUUAA
This 1217-nucleotide ribosomal RNA is filed under the name Sphaerobolus cuprophilus. Its description in RNAcentral is "Sphaerobolus sp. PK-2022a partial small subunit ribosomal RNA". The stretch from base 937 to 1217 matches the Rfam family "Bacterial small subunit ribosomal RNA", at positions 557 to 863 of the family's 1533-position model. The record is from RNAcentral. Lineage: Eukaryota; Fungi; Basidiomycota; Agaricomycetes; Geastrales; Sphaerobolaceae.